AGAGUUUGAUCCUGGCUCAGGACGAACGCUGGCGGCGUGCUUAACACAUGCAAGUCGAGCGAUGAAGUCCCUUCGGGGACGGAUUAGCGGCGGACGGGUGAGUAACACGUGGGUAACCUGCCUCAUAGAGGGGAAUAGCCUUCCGAAAGGAAGAUUAAUACCGCAUAAGAUUGUAGUUUCGCAUGAAGAACUAAUUAAAGGAGCAAUCCGCUUUGAGAUGGACCCGCGGCGCAUUAGCUAGUUGGUGAGGUAACGGCUCACCAAGGCGACGAUGUGUAGCCGACCUGAGAGGGUGAUCGGCCACAUUGGAACUGAGACACGGUCCAGACUCCUACGGGAGGCAGCAGUGGGGAAUAUUGCACAAUGGGCGAAAGCCUGAUGCAGCAACGCCGCGUGAGUGAUGAAGGCCUUCGGGUUGUAAAGCUCUGUCUUUGGGGACGAUAAUGACGGUACCCAAGGAGGAAGCCACGGCUAACUACGUGCCAGCAGCCGCGGUAAUACGUAGGUGGCGAGCGUUGUCCGGAUUUACUGGGCGUAAAGGAUGCGUAGGCGGAUAUUUAAGUGAGAUGUGAAAUACCCGGGCUUAACUUGGGUGCUGCAUUUCAAACUGGAUAUCUAGAGUGCGGGAGAGGAGAAUGGAAUUCCUAGUGUAGCGGUGAAAUGCGUAGAGAUUAGGAAGAACACCAGUGGCGAAGGCGACUCUCUGGACCGUAACUGACGCUGAGGCAUGAAAGCGUGGGGAGCAAACAGGAUUAGAUACCCUGGUAGUCCACGCCGUAAACUAUGGGUACUAGGUGUGG
RNAcentral lists this ribosomal RNA (800 nucleotides) under uncultured bacterium. Its description in RNAcentral is "bacterial SSU rRNA". It matches the Rfam family "Bacterial small subunit ribosomal RNA", at positions 8 to 825 of the family's 1533-position model. The record is from RNAcentral.